RNA transcript from Haliotis rubra (blacklip abalone), 4581 nucleotides. It is a transcript of the gene named trichohyalin-like, with no coding region annotated. The record is from RefSeq and is a predicted model, not a curated record. The transcript has 14 exons. Lineage: Eukaryota; Metazoa; Mollusca; Gastropoda; Lepetellida; Haliotidae.
GCGAGAUGGAAAGGCUGGAUAUACGAUGACAACAUGUUGAUUCAAUGGUGAACAAAAUGAUCGCAAACGGAGAGUGGAUUUACUUGCUGAUGAACUGACGACAGCCUGUUAACAUGGCUGAGGCAAGACAGGGGUCGGACACGCUCCCUGAAAGGGGAAAAGUACAACAAGUGUGCCGCCAGUGGCUGGUCCAUGAGGACGGAGUCAAGGCAUACCAGAUGCAGAAUGAGGAGUUUGACUUCCACUAUGGUUUGAAUCGGAAGAACCGGCGGACGGUGAGAGAAGACAUUCCAGUAGCCAAGGUUGUGCAGAGUGAGGAGGAGAAACAGAUGCAAGAGGAGCGGUACCAGCAGCUGCAGGCUCUCAAUGUCCAAGCGGAGGAGGAUGAGAAGGUGGCACAGCGGAUGAAGGUACAGCUGGAGGUGGAGGAUCUUCAGAGACAAAAGAUGCGUGAAGUUGAAGACCAGGAAAUAGCAAGACAGAUUCAGGAGAAAGAGAAGAAGAAAUACGAGAAGUAUCUGGAGAAGAAGAAGGAGAAACAGCUUCAGAAACAGAGGGAGAAACUAGAGCGGCAGCUGGCACAGCAUACAGAGGAGGCUCGGCUCGUCCUCGCUGCUGAUGGGGCGAGCCUGCAGCAACUUGGCUCAGCUGUUGAAGACAUGAAUCUGGGCAGUGGUCAAAGGGGGACAACUGCAAAUGGACAUUCUAGGUAUAGAAGAAGGGUAACCCCUGCCGGUCACAUCGAGGAUGAUGGCGACUUUAGCGACUUCUACACAGUCCCCAAUGAUGGGUCGGUCAAUCCCGUUGAACAUCGAGCAAUACAAGAACUCCAAGAUGAGGAACUUGCACGUCUACUACAGGACCAAGAACACAAGCGGACGAAAGCUGAGGUGGACCGAGGCAAGCUGCGUCAGAUCGAGGUGCAGGACGAGCAGCUGGCCAGGGUCAUCCAGGAACAGGAGAAACUCAAGGCCAGGAAGGUCAAACAGCGGCGGAAGCAACUACUUGAACAGCAGCGACAACAGCAGAUGGCCCAGGAAGCUAUGGCAUCAGGAAUGAACAUGUCUGCGGCAGUAGAAUCAAUUUCCAUGCAGGCAAAUGGCGAAUCCCCACCCGGACAUCGGUACCGCCGAGACAGCUACACCCGCUCCAUCUCCAACAGCAACACCCCAGCGCAGGAAUCUCAAUCUGUCCAUCACCAAACCGUCACCAAGCAGAUGUCUGCUCCUCCCAAUCUCCCCCCACGGGAACCCCCCUCCUACCAGACCCAUCAACGUAUUCAGGAGGAGCGGAGUGCGGGAGGGAGAUAUCCCCCCUCGGGGGACAUGCCGGUGGAUCAAGCUCGGGACAUGCAGCGCUGGUUGGACGGGAUGUCGCCCCAUCACGUGCCUUCUCACCACCGCGAUCGGCGGGUGUCACAGGAGGAACAUAUGGCGCCAUCACCCUCACCGCCAGGGAGUUACCAUAGCGAUGAGGAUGGUAGCAGAUCAUUUAGUCCAGAUCGGUCCAUGGGUUCGAGUCAUGCUGUUAGCACGCCCGUACAGUUUAAUAUUGCUGCAGCCAUUGACCCCACCUACAAGAGACGACAACAAGAUAUACAUAUUGCUGACCAGACCGAAGUCAAAACACAGAUACCGCUUUCCAGAUCACUGCCUUUGACUGAUGAUGUGGACCUUGAGUGGGAUCCUGGACUCCGUGGGAGUCUCCGUCGCCUCAAGGGACACUGGAACCCAAUGAUGGGACACUAUCAAGAGUCUACAGGCACAGUGAGCACCUUGAGUCGCAUGGAGGAAGAACCCGGUCCGGAAGGGCCUGUCAUAAAUCCAUGGCAACCGGUUCAAGGUCAGAAGAGGUCAACUUUGGACAAGUCCCGGAAGGCCAAGCGGCAAAGUCAAGAGGCAAGACCAAGCAAGAAGGAAUCGAAAGGAAGCUGUAAGCAGCAGUAACUCAUAUAUAUGAUUCAAACUGAUGACUCAAUGUUUGCAUAAAGAGAUGAGAUUAGUAUUGGCUGAAGAGGACCAAUGAAGGAGGAGGAGAAGAAUUGUUUGAACCUUUGACAAACCAUUAGCCUGAAUGUGUUGAAGACAUAUUGACUUUUAAACGAUGUGCACACUCGAUCAUUAGCCUGGACCAGCUGACUUUCAAUUAAUGUGCAUCUCUAACCAAUUGCCUGAAAGGGGUUGGGGUAGCCAAGUGGUUAAAGCGUUCGCUUGUCACACCCGGGUUCGAUUUCCCACAUGGACACAAUGUGUGACACCAUUUCUGGUGUCUCCAGCCGUGAGCAUUGCUGGAAUAUUGCCAAAAGCAGCGUAAAACUAAACUGACUCACUAACCAUUAGCCUUAAGACCAGCUAACUUUUAACCAGGAAGCGUAGUAUAGUACAUGGUGCUGGGUCUAUGUGUUUGCUACUGGUGAAGUCUGUGUAUGUUGGUGAUGUUCUUCAGUCAGGGUAUUUCUCCCUUGUUACCACUUCCUCCAUUGUAAUAGACAGAGUUCUGGUUCUGGAACUAUGCAUUCACAACAAUAGGUUGCCUUGGUUACACUCAAACAAAUGCUCACUGAGGCGCCAGACAAGCGUGCCUCCAUUUUUGGUGCGUGAAGAUCUGAUAACAUCUGAUAUUUAUUUGAUAAUUUAAACUGUAUAUUAGCCUCUAUGUAUUUGUAAUGUAUCCUUGCUAGUAGGUAAAUUGUAUAUCGUUUUAGAUAGUUAUUAUAUCAGGAAUAUCAAAUUACAUAAAAAUAGUGGCAUGUUUAAAUUGAAAUAUGUAUGCAAUAAUAGAUUGUGAAAACAACCGUGUGAACCUUCUAGGUUGUAAUCUUUUAGUUUUAUAGGAACAGAAUGGACAGCUGAGAGCAUGGGAUUUUUCCAAAUAAAGAUGGGAGGUGGGGCAACCUAGUGGUUAAAGCUUUCCCUUGUCACGCUGAAUUUUCAGAUUCAAUUCCCUACAUGGGUACAAUUUGUGAAGCCCAUUUCUGGUGUCCGCCGCUGUGAUAUUGCUGGAGUAUUGCUAAAAGCAACGUCAAACCAAACUCACUAGGUAAAGGCUUCCAUUACAUUAACUGGACUAGAAAAAACAAAGGUAGAUGAGAGGAAUUCAGGUUGGCAACUUGAGUUUAUUGAGAGAUGUAACGUUACAUAAUUGUCACAUGUAAACUGGGGUUUACAAGGAAUUGUAACAUACAGUUUUCCUGUCUCAUUAUGACAGAUGUUUUAUUCCAUGAUACCUUUCUCCAUGGAUGACUUUCUAAUCAGGAAGUUGAUGUUAAUGCCUCUAUCUUGUGACAGAAUCCUAUCAAAAUCUUCCUAUUGAGAAAAGUAUCCUGUCUAAACCUUACUACUGGAGAAAAUCAUCCCCUUUAAACCUUUCCAGAAGGACUUCAGUCUAAAUAUGGAAGAUUUAUGUAGACAUAAGAGCCAUGGUUGUAAUUCACAACACAUAUUUUGUAUCUUUGUUUUGGGGAAGAAAUAUUUGAAUACUAUGGCCUUGACAGUUAUUAGCAUCAGGAGGUCUGCCUUGAAUACACCUCAGUUAUCUGCCCUUGUUGCUUGGCACCAGUACACACAUUUGGGUUAUGUCCCCUUGUUGCUUGGCACCAUUACAGAAGGUUGUGACUUGCUCAUUAGUUUAGAAUAUGUCAACUAUAUUCUCACUUGUUGUUGAAAGGGUAAAAUGGUCUUUAAGGCCAUCCAAGCCUGUUUGUUGUGAAGACAGUGUUGAUUUACCAACCUGCUGUUAACAACCGCGCCUAUUCAUGUUGUUAUUUUUCCAAUUAUCGGCCUGAUUUUAAACAGCUGUCGUGCUGCAAGGAAACCAAAAGCGUGACCAGUUCUUGCUGAAUUUAGGAAAAUUAUAUGUGGACGAUUUUCUCCUGUUUUUAGGAAAAUGUUCAGGAUUUUCUUGGAUGAAAUUGUCUUUGUUAGUCUGUGGAUCUUGUCUUCGAUCAUUGUGCCAUUGAAACAUACCCAGUGGUAGCUCUUAUGGUUGAGACUGUAUUUAUAUACUCAAAUUUAUUUAUUUUAUCCAAACAUCGUUAUAAACAUCCUCUAAAUUUUCAGGGCUAUAGUUUGGGUGAACCAGCACUAACUCCUUGAUCUAAUCCCAGGACUAUCACGGAUUUGUGAUUGGAAGUGGAUCCAGGGGUUGGUGUGGCUACUAGGGUUGGUGUGGAUCCAGGGGUUGGUGUGGAUCCAAGGGUUUUGGAUACCUGGAGAUACUGAGGAUGCAUUAUAACGUGAUGAAGGUGAACAUUAAUAACUAAUGUAUUGUCUUAUGGGCAAAGAAGUGUUAUAAUAAUGGUAGAUAAAUCAUGGGUGGCCCAGUCAUCAAACACACUGCAAUUUGCUCCGGAGAUUUCUGUCUCUUGAGCAUGCUAUAGACAUAUGAUCGGGGCUUCGAAUCUCAGAUUUGUCUUGAGUUUUCCCUUGGUAUUUACACCAAACACUUCUGAUCGGUUUGCCUUGGUUGCAGUCAUACAUAACAACCUUAGCGCUACGACUGUCGUAAGUCAAUGUUUAGACAUGAGAGAUACGAUGUCUGUGCUAAGGGGGCGGUGGGGUAGCCUAGUGGUUAAAGCGUUGG